This 727-nucleotide long non-coding RNA is filed under the name Lathyrus oleraceus (garden pea). Its description in RNAcentral is "Pisum sativum (pea) long non-coding RNA (PSAT_LNC017462)". The record is from RNAcentral. Lineage: Eukaryota; Viridiplantae; Streptophyta; Magnoliopsida; Fabales; Fabaceae.
GAAAACUUCCUUCAUGAGCUUGAAUCUUGAUCAAUCCUUUUUGUUUAUCAAUCUUAGACUUGUAGAGAAGUUUGUCAUCAUCAAAACAUUUGAGAAGUCGUGUCUUCACAAUCUCCCCCUUUUUGAUGAUGACAACCCAAAAAAAAUGAAAGUUCAAUCCAAGCAUGUUUCUCUAGCAAAUGGCCCCCCUUAAUUGAUACUCCCCCUUAAUUUAUGAUUUAAGGAGUCUUUUGAAAUCUGCAUUUUGUUAGAGAGAAACAGAAAACAAAGAAUAACACAAUAACAAUCUCUUCUCCCCCUUUGUCAUUAAUAAAAAGGGUGAAAUAAGUAACAAUAUGCAAACAACAUACGUCAAGCACCACAUAACACCAGAAUGAAACAAAAGAUAAUACAAACAUAAUAUAAACCAAACUUAGUACGGAAUGGAAAGACGGAUAAAACAUAAAAAACAAGAAAAAACACUUAAGACCAAAUGUACUCUUUAUGACAAAAACUCACGUGUGUUAAAAUUCUUUUAAAAAAUUCUGGAAGAAACAGUGGUAAUCGAUUACUCUAAAAAGGGUAAUUGGUUACAUAAAUGAAAAACGCGUGAGGAAGGCAAAAACAGGCAGGGUAAUCGAUUACCCAAUUUGGAGUAACCGAUUACUCUAAGAAAAAAGUGAAAAAACAGUAGCUUUGCACAGCCCAAAAUAUGAAGGAUUUUCAAAAAAAAAUUAAGUUUGACAAG